GGAGUUAGCCGGUGCUUCUUCUGUGAGUGAUGUCCUUCCUGCCGGCUAUUAACCCGCAGGCCUUCUUCCUCACUGAAAGUGCUUUACAACCCGAAGGCCUUCUUCACACACGCGGCAUGGCUGGAUCAGGGUUGCCCCCAUUGUCCAAUAUUCCCCACUGCUGCCUCCCGUAGGAGUCUGGGCCGUGUCUCAGUCCCAGUGUGGCUGAUCAUCCUCUCAGACCAGCUACGGAUCGUCGCCUUGGUGAGCCGUUACCUCACCAACCAUCUAAUCCGACAUAGGCUCAUCCGAUAGCGCGAGGCCCGAAGGUCCCCCGCUUUCCCCCGUAUGGCGUAUGCGGUAUUAGCCUGGGUUUCCCCAGGUUAUCCCCCACUACCGGGCAGAUUCCUAUGCAUUACUCACCCGUCCGCCGCUCGCCACCAGGGAGCAAGCUCCCCGUGCUGCCGCUCGACUUGCAUGUGUUAGGCCUGCCGCCAGCGUUCAAUCUGAGCCANAGAUACAACUCNCGACGUAGACGGCGGCGUCGACGACGGCGACA
This 538-nucleotide ribosomal RNA is filed under the name uncultured bacterium. Its description in RNAcentral is "partial 16S ribosomal RNA". The record is from RNAcentral.